ACACGUAAGGGGCAAGCGUUGUUCGGAAUUAUUGGGCGUAAAGGGCGCGUAGGCGGUUUUACAAGUCUGGUGUGAAAUACCUCAGCUUAACUGGGGGACCGCGCUGGAAACUGUAAGACUAGAAUCUAGGAGGGGAAGCUGGAAUUCCUGGUGUAGGGGUGAAAUCUGUAGAUAUCUGGAAGAACACCGGUGGCGAAGGCGAGCUUCUGGCCAUAGAUUGACGCUGAGGCGCGAAAGCGUGGGGAGCGAACAGGAUUAGAAACCCCGGUAGUCC
This 274-nucleotide ribosomal RNA is filed under the name uncultured bacterium. RNAcentral describes it as "partial 16S ribosomal RNA". It matches the Rfam family "Bacterial small subunit ribosomal RNA", at positions 523 to 796 of the family's 1533-position model. The record is from RNAcentral.